This 238-nucleotide long non-coding RNA is filed under the name Lathyrus oleraceus (garden pea). RNAcentral's name for it is "Pisum sativum (pea) long non-coding RNA (PSAT_LNC030209)". The record is from RNAcentral. Lineage: Eukaryota; Viridiplantae; Streptophyta; Magnoliopsida; Fabales; Fabaceae.
AAAAACUACAUAUACAAUAACCCGCUUAACUUCUACCUUCUCCAACUCUGCUUGUUCCCUAGUGAUCGCUACAGUCGAUGAUAGCUAGAACUAAUGAACUAAGUUAACUCAUCAGAAUAACCUCCCCUCCUAGCCCGAUAGCUCUUUAGGAAAGUAUUAUGAAAGGUAGACUCCACUUCUAGGUCUUUGAUCUCACCCAAUCCUAUAUGCUACACUAGUUUGAAGAGUCUACUUCCCU